This 73-nucleotide transfer RNA is filed under the name Pseudomonadota bacterium. RNAcentral's name for it is "tRNA-Val". It matches the Rfam family "tRNA". From Rfam's summary of the family: Transfer RNA (tRNA) molecules are approximately 80 nucleotides in length. Their secondary structure includes four short double-helical elements and three loops (D, anti-codon, and T loops). RNAcentral also lists the same sequence under 3 other names. The record is from RNAcentral. Lineage: Bacteria; Pseudomonadati; Pseudomonadota.
AGGCACGUAGCUCAGGGGCUAGAGCGCUGCUCUGACACGGCAGAGGUCGACGGUUCGAGACCGUCCGUGCCUA